ACUCCUACGGGAGGCAGCAGUGGGAAUAUUGGACAAUGGGCGCAAGCCUGAUCCAGCCAUGCCGCGUGUGUGAAGAAGGCCUUCGGGUUGUAAAGCACUUUUGUACGGGAAGAAACGCGAUCGGUUAAUACCCGGUCGAACUGACGGUACCGUAAGAAUAAGCACCGGCUAACUUCGUGCCAGCAGCCGCGGUAAUACGAAGGGUGCAAGCGUUACUCGGAAUUACUGGGCGUAAAGCGUGCGUAGGUGGUUUGUUAAGUCAGAUGUGAAAGCCCUGGGCUCAACCUGGGAACUGCAUUUGAUACUGGCAGGCUAGAGUGCGGUAGAGGGUAGCGGAAUUCCCGGUGUAGCAGUGAAAUGCGUAGAUAUCGGGAGGAACAUCCGUGGCGAAGGCGGCUACCUGGACCAGCACUGACACUGAGGCACGAAAGCGUGGGGAGCAAACAGGAUUACAUACCCUGGUAGGCUCU
This 470-nucleotide ribosomal RNA is filed under the name uncultured bacterium. RNAcentral describes it as "bacterial SSU rRNA". It matches the Rfam family "Bacterial small subunit ribosomal RNA", at positions 335 to 798 of the family's 1533-position model. The record is from RNAcentral.